ACUCACCAAGCAGGUUUGGCUGCCCAGACCCCACCUGCAAGUCACACAUUAUCCAAUAUUGGCAAGUACGUUCAAAGUGGGUAGGCACCAAUCACUCCAGGCUGUAUUCAGUACUACAGUGGUACCUCAGGUUACAGACGCUUCAGGUUACAUACGCUUCAGGUUACAGACUCUGCUAACCCAGAAAUAGUCCUUCAGGUUAAGAACUUUGCUUCAGGCAGCAGCAGGAGGCCCCAUUAGCUAAAGUGGUGCUUCAGGUUAAGAACAGUUUCAGGUUAAGUACGGACCUCCGGAACGAAUUAAGUACUUAAUCUGAGGUACCACUGUAGUGCUUCUCAGAGUAGGCCCAUUGCAAUUAAUAAGACAUGACUGAAUUCUUAGCAUUAGCUAUAGCCCUCUAUCCUGACCACUCUGAUUCUCCUUAAUACAAGCCAUGUGCCUAACGAGCAUGUCACAGCCAGCUGAGGAACAGCAGCCAUUUCCCCCUCAGCAGGUCAAUGAGGUAAUUUUAAACUCUGGACUUAAUGGUCUGAUUGAGGAUGGGGUCUCUUCAGAUAUGUGUAUUAUUCACAGACUUUGGACCCUUUCAUCCAUACUUUUUAUCACACAUUCAUGAUUUGUGCUCCUCGUGCUAUCCAGGUGCUCAUACAUAAUCUCAUUUUCAAUGCUACUUAUGCCUGCAAAAAAUUUGGGGUGGUCACACUGCUUCAUUUCCAAUCAGUGCAAGUCCCGUAUCUUUCUGCUAAAACCUUGUGGCUUUUUAUACCACAAAUAUGGUUUAUUUUUGCCACGCUUUUCUUGCACGAAAGCUCAUCUGGACAGUAAUUAUAUGGUAGGACUGGGUAAGUGUUGCAGAACUAAUAACGCAGAAUAAAUUCACCACUGAUCCAUUACUAUUGUGUCACCAACAUGUAGCAGAAUGCACCCACAAUGAAGCAACAGUCUGGAAGGGCCUUUCAUGAUAAGUAGGCCCUGUUGUGUUUGGGGGCCCUCAUUCUGCUAUGGGGCUCUAGACUUCUCUCCCCCGCCCCCCUGCCACCUUUCUCUGACUCCACCACAGUUAUUUGUUCAAUACAUCUGGGGCCCCAUCUAUCUUUCCACUUGACCUUCUAUAUAAUGCCCCCUCCACUCAACCAGUGGAAGUAAAGUGUCAGAUCAGAAGCUGCAAAUUUACUUCAAGUGAUGUAUUCAGGUCUGGAGCAGUGUGCAAGAGCCCUAAUACAGUGGUACCUCAGGUUACAGACUCCACUAACCCAGAAAUAGUACCUCAGGUUAAGAACUUUUCCUCAGGAUGAGAACGGAAAUCGCACGGUGGCAGCGUGAGACCCCAUUAGCUAAAGUGGUACCUUAGGUUAAGAACAGUUUCAGGUUAAGAAUGGACCUCCAGAAUGAAUUAAGUUCUUAACCAGAGGUACCACUGUAUUAGUAUCAUUUCUUCAUAUAUAUUUAGAAUAUCUAGUGAAUAACAUAAAUUCACCGCCAAUCCUAAAUACAUUUGGAGGGUCCAUAAUUUCUGCUUGAGUGCCAUAAACACUUCCCACAGUCCAUAUUGUGUUUCCCCUCUCUUUUCUAGUUGUUGACAGAAUAGGUGGAGCACAUGUGACUUGCCUCCUGCUUAGUUCCAAGAUUCUGUUUGCUUCCUUUGCUGAGAAACUUGAAAAUGAAUUCCCUUGUCAUGUACAUGUUUACAGUAUUAUUCUGUCCUGUUUCUUUCUCAGACCAUUUAUUCUCUCUCAAUAUUUUAGUUAGUUCUAGCCACAAGGGCUGGCCCAUCUGUGAGGGAAGGUGAGGUAACCUCCUCAGGUAGCAGAUUCCGUUGUAGAACUUCAUUCACCCUUUAUUCCCUGGCAGGGAAGGGGGCACCAUUUUGUAUUGGGCUGGCCCUGCUUUUUGUUCUGAGGAACUGUAGCCUUAUGAGGCUUUGCCCUCGGGUGGGAAAAAUAUUGCGCCCGGGAAAGGGAAGUGGGAGUCAACAGACACUCAAGGAAUAGUUUCGGAGAAAAGGCUUUUAUUUCUACCAUCCAUGAACUGGUAGAAGGAGCAAGUGUGAUAGUUCACAAAAGCAUGUACGAAGUUCACAGUCAUGUGCACAAACAUAUAUACCCCUUUCCAGUUCCCUCCCCCUUUCUCCUCCCUCAGGAGUCCUGCCCCAUGAGUUCCUCUGAGCAUGAACAGAAAGCUGUUUUGGGACUAUUGUGGACUCUUGGCACCCUUCCCAGGAAAGGGGAGUGAGAGUGGUUCAGCAUCUCCAACCGAAUGAGAUAAGAUUCAGUUUCUCAGGUCUGCUUUGAACAGAGCCUAUGCAUUAGCUUUUUGAAGCCUUCUCGUACAGAUAAAAAGUAACGGUUUGCCCUUGCAACAGCAGAGCAAAUGAUUUUGAAAAGUUUUGAGAAGCUUUGAGCCUGCUUUGGGGGGGGGGGGUGACUUCGGGCCUAGGUGGGGUCACCUGUCCUCACCUUCCUUCAGAACGAACUGAAGAAUUAUCAGACCAGGAGCUGCAAAUUUGCAGACACAUUUUCCUAUAUUGCACCUGCUUUGUGGUUGUACUUCAGUGUAGUUGGGACAAUGUGCUGGGAAUAGGUAUGUGAAUGGUCCUGCUUUGCAGCAGGGGCUUGGUCUUUCUGACCUCUUGGUCUCUUCUACCCCCAACACAUAACCAGGGGUGUAGCAUGUGGGAGGGGGGCGCUUCUGGAGCGAUUGCCCUGGGUGCAUUUUUUUUUUGGGGGGGGGGAGGCAUGCUGGUCAUGCUGCCCUCCUCAAGUCAGCUCUGCACCACUUUCCAAGGUCUGAGGAACUGGGAUUGAUGCAUGGCUGUUGCGUCCUCACGCCACUUACCCCAGAUUCCAGUCUUGCAAAGUGAGUUCACAGUCAGAAAUGUAUCUAGCUAGUACUCAGCAGUUAUCUCUCAUCAGUCUACCUCUGAUGAGAGAAAAUCAAUCUGCCAUGAGGUUCCCUCUCCCGGAAGUUUAAUUUAAUUGGUUUUCUCUUCCCUCCCCCCUCCCGAACAUAGCUGUGCCACACUGGGAUUUAUCUAGGCAAAGGGUGUUUUCAUAUUGCACAUGAACCCUCGGUCCACCCUUUCUCUGUUGGAGCCAAGCAGUGAUGAUUUAUAUAUGGCAUGGAAUGAAUACCUAAGGCAAUUUUCUCUUUUUCUUGUGUUUACACCUUCUGGAAACAAAGCUCAUGGGUGUGUGGAGUGUGAUUUAUGAUUGAGAGAAAAAGGGCGAUGUCACGAGUUGCCACUUCUGUGUAUGGCAAACAGCUGCCUACUAGGAAGCAGGGUAGCACAGAGGACUUGCUUACAUCUGGGUUCUCAACAAAAAAACAUCAGUUUUAGGACUGAUUUCGUUAGCUGCUUUUUUUCAUAUAAUUUGGUGAUGUUUGAAAUCACAACCUGGUGAGCUCAAGUCCAAGACUGAAUAAUAGAUCUCUCCUCCAUGAAUUUAUCUAAUCCCAUAUUAAAGCCAUCUAAGCUAGUGAUCAACACAUCUUGCCGCCUUUGAAGACUACCUCAGUGUAACAGGUUUACAUUGGCUCUGCAUUGUUAUUUUUACUGAUUUUUAUUUUAGUACUCUUGCUUGCUGAAUACUGACAAGGAAUAAUUUUUUUUUUAAAGAAUGGUAACGAAUGCUACCUGCAGAAAGAGGAGCUUGUGCAACUUGAAGCAACCUGAUUGACGCAAGGAUUGUGAUUUAGUACUUCUCCAGUGCUGUGCCAAAUAGGAACUACGUGGUUGACUUGAAUGACAUUAAGUUUAUAAGGACUUCUACACAUACUGGAGGUAAGACCAUUAAAAGGGGAAACUGAAGCGCC
Non-coding RNA from Podarcis lilfordi (Lilford's wall lizard), 3813 nucleotides. Lineage: Eukaryota; Metazoa; Chordata; Lepidosauria; Squamata; Lacertidae. The record is from the annotation of a GenBank genome assembly.